AUGAACGCUGGCGGCGUGCCUAAUACAUGCAAGUCGAGCGCACAGAUGAGGAGCUUGCUCCUCUGACGUUAGCGGCGGACGGGUGAGUAACACGUGGAUAACCUACCUAUAAGACUGGGAUAACUUCGGGAAACCGGAGCUAAUACCGGAUAAUAUAUUGAACCGCAUGGUUCAAUAGUGAAAGACGGUUUUGCUGUCACUUAUAGAUGGAUCCGCGCCGCAUUAGCUAGUUGGUAAGGUAACGGCUUACCAAGGCAACGAUGCGUAGCCGGCCUGAGAGGGUGAUCGGCCACACUGGAACUGAGACACGGUCCAGACUCCUACGGGAGGCAGCAGUAGGGAAUCUUCCGCAAUGGGCGAAAGCCUGACGGAGCAACGCCGCGUGAGUGAUGAAGGUCUUCGGAUCGUAAAACUCUGUUAUUAGGGAAGAACAAAUGUGUAAGUAACUAUGCACGUCUUGACGGUACCUAAUCAGAAAGCCACGGCUAACUACGUG
RNAcentral lists this ribosomal RNA (496 nucleotides) under uncultured bacterium. RNAcentral's name for it is "partial 16S ribosomal RNA". It matches the Rfam family "Bacterial small subunit ribosomal RNA", at positions 29 to 507 of the family's 1533-position model. The record is from RNAcentral.